CAAGGCGCAUUGUAAUUUGAAGAUGGUAUUCUGAGUUAGACCUUUACCUCAGUUCCUUGGAACAGGACGCCAUAGAGGGUGAGAGCCCCGUGCGGUAUUGGCCCCUAUCUCGUGUAGUUUACCUUCAAAGAGUCGAGUUGUUUGGGAAUGCAGCUCUAAGUGGGUGGUAAAUUCCAUCUAAAGCUAAAUAUUGGCGAGAGACCGAUAGCGAACAAGUACUGUAAAGGAAAGAUGAAAAGAACUUUGAAAAGAGAGUGAAAAAGUACGUGAAAUUGUUGAAAGGGAAGGGAAUUAGACUAGACUUGGAUUUCUGUUAUCAGCAGUCUCUCGGGGCUGUGUACUAGCAGUUUUCUAGGCCAGGGUCUGUUUGGAGGCCAGGAUAAAACCCAA
Molecule: ribosomal RNA, 390 nt
Filed under: [Candida] sp.
Lineage: Eukaryota; Fungi; Ascomycota; Saccharomycetes; Saccharomycetales
Description: eukaryotic LSU rRNA
Rfam family: Eukaryotic large subunit ribosomal RNA
Source: RNAcentral